GACGGGGGAUGAAAGCGUUAUCCGGAAUCACUGGGCGUAAAGCGUCUGUAGGUGGUGAUGCAAGUCACUGGUGCAAAACUCUGGCUCAACCGGAGGAAAGCCAGUGAAACUGCAUGACUAGAGUGUGGGAGAGGUAGAAGGAAUUCCUUGAGUAGCGGUGAAAUGCGUAGAUACAGGGAAGAACACCGGAGGCGAAAGAGUUCUACUGGAACACAACUGACACUGAGAGACGAAAGCUAGGGGAGCGAAUGGG
This 253-nucleotide ribosomal RNA is filed under the name uncultured bacterium. Its description in RNAcentral is "partial 16S ribosomal RNA". It matches the Rfam family "Bacterial small subunit ribosomal RNA", at positions 524 to 776 of the family's 1533-position model. The record is from RNAcentral.